UAAUAAAAUAAUUAAUAAUAAAGAGAACAUGAUGUUGGUUCAGAUCAAAUGCUAUGUAGAAGCAUAACACAUGCAAGUUAUUUUAAUAUUUAUUAAAAUAGCGAUAAGGUGAGUGAUAUAAGAUAAUAAAUUAUCUUAUUCAGAUGUAGGUAUUAGAGUUAAUCUAGCCAUCGAACUGGAGCCGACGAUUAUCGUCACAACGGCCACAUUGAUAUAAUAUCAACUCUUAUUAAGAGCAGCAGUGGGGAAUCUUUGACAAUGGUCUAACGACUGAUCAAGCUAUCUACGAGAAGGAAUUAUUAAAUACUUAUUCUUUAAGAAUAAGUUAAAUAUAUCCUUAUUUAUAAUAUGGAUAUGUAAUAAUAAUAAUAAAGAUAAAAACUAUAAACUUCUAAGUAAUUAUAAUAAUGAUAUAAAUUACGAAAGAGUCCUAACUAAAACAUGUGCCAGCAGCUGCGGUUAGACAUGGAGGGCUAGCAUUGUUCAAAAUGGCUUAAAGGAUCUGUAGAACUUAUAAAUAUAUAAUAUAUAUAUUUAUAUAGAAUAAAUUAAAGGUAAUAAGAAAUAAAGUUAUAGAGAUAAAAUUCAUCGAAAACAUUAUGACUACAAAGAGAUUACUUAAAUUUAUUGACGUUGUGAGAUGAAGGCUACGGUAGCGACAUGGAUUCGAUACCCAUUUAGUCGUAGCAGUAAACUAUGAGUACAAUAAUUAGAAAAGUGAAAAUGAAUAGUACUCCGCCUGACUAGUACGCUCGCAAGGGUGAAAUACAAGACAUUAGACGGUUGUAGUCCCUAGCAGUGGAACAUGUCAUUUAAUUGGAUGAUCCCCCUUAAACCUUACCAUCUCUUGAAUUAUUAACCGGCGUUACAUCGUUGUCGUCAGUUCAUGCCGUGAGGUAUUAUAUUAAGUUAUUAAAUGAACGUAACCCUUUUUCCCCCUCUAUAUAUUUAUAUAUAGUUAUGGAAAUAUUUAUUAUUUUACGAUAAUAGGAAGUCGAGGUUGAAGACUAAUCAUGAUGACCCUAAUGAGAUGGGCUAUAGACGUGUUACAAUAUUAUUUACAAUUAUAAUAUAUAUACUCAUAACUCUUUUAGAGUUAUUAAUUAUAUUAAUAUAUAUUUAUUUAAAUGAUAAGAAUAUGACAUAGUUUUCUUUUAUGGAUUGUAAUCUGAAAUUCGGUUACAUAAAGGAGGAAUUGCUAGUAAUCGCGAACUAGAGUGUCGCGGUGAAAUUUUUUGCUACUUCGUACUAACCACUCAUCAACAGCAAGAAAUUUUUAUUUUCCUCUUUUACUUUUUUUUAAGUUUAAUGAGGUUAAUUGAUAAAGGACCUGCUGUAAGUUGAAAUACGGUUCGGUUAGGGGAACCUGAUCGGGAUUUAUAUUUUAUAAUUUAUUCAUCUUCAUGAAUGAAUCCCCCACUCCUACGGAGUGGGAAUUUAUUCAUCUUUUAGGGAAAGAUGGAUCGCCACCUUCGGUGGCUUUCAUCUUAAACCCUUUGGUUAAAGAAAGAAUGAAUCCCCACUCCUACGGAGUGGGCAUUUAUUCUUUUAAAACCUUUCUUCGGGUUUCUAAUAAGCACCUUCGGUGUGGAUUAUACUCUUUAUAGAUAUCAUAUAUCGCUCAUUAUGAGUGGUAUAUUAUUUUAAUAUCCCACCCGCCACCUUUAGUGGUGGGUGUGGAGAUAUAUCAGUAUCCUUUAAUGGAUACUGAUAUAUCUGAUACCCCCUAUUUAUAGGGGUAUUAAAUAUAUCUAUCUGCCAUUGGCAGAUAGAUAUAUCUGAUUCUAUUGAUAUAAAAUAUCAAAGAAUUAAAUAUAUCCAUUAUUGAUGGAUAUAUCUGAUCCCAUCCAAAGGAUGGGAUUAAAUAUAUAUGCACGGAGGUGCAGAUAUAUCUGAUAUAUCCCGGAGGGAUAUAUUAAAUAGUUUAUAAAUAUAGAUAUGGAUA
Molecule: ribosomal RNA, 1945 nt
Filed under: Clavispora lusitaniae
Lineage: Eukaryota; Fungi; Ascomycota; Pichiomycetes; Serinales; Metschnikowiaceae
Description: small subunit ribosomal RNA
Rfam family: Bacterial small subunit ribosomal RNA (bases 17-1388)
Source: RNAcentral